CCUACGGGUGGCAGCAGUGAGGAAUAUUGGUCAAUGGCCGGAAGGCUGAACCAGCCAUGCCGCGUGAAGGUCAGUGCCCUAUGGGCGUUAAACUUCUUUUGUGCGGGAGCAAUAAUGGUCACGUGUGGCCAGACGAGAGUACCGUACGAAUAAGCAUCGGCUAACUCCGUGCCAGCAGCCGCGGUAAUACGGGGGAUGCCAGCGUUAUCCGGAUUUAUUGGGUUUAAAGGGUGCGUAGGCUGUGAGGUAAGUCAGCGUGGAAAUGCCCGCGCUCAACGGGGUGAAGUGCCAUUGAUACUGGCAUGCUGGAGUGCGGAUGCGGUGGGAGGAAUGUGUGGUGUAGCGGUGAAAUGCAUAGAUAUCACACAGAACACCGAUUGCGAAGGCAUCUCACGAAUCCGCGAUUGACGCUGAUGCACGAAAGCGUGGGUAUCAAACAGGAUUAGAUACCCUUGUAGUC
This 460-nucleotide ribosomal RNA is filed under the name uncultured bacterium. Its description in RNAcentral is "partial 16S ribosomal RNA". It matches the Rfam family "Bacterial small subunit ribosomal RNA", at positions 338 to 795 of the family's 1533-position model. The record is from RNAcentral.